RNAcentral lists this ribosomal RNA (253 nucleotides) under uncultured bacterium. RNAcentral's name for it is "partial 16S ribosomal RNA". It matches the Rfam family "Bacterial small subunit ribosomal RNA", at positions 524 to 776 of the family's 1533-position model. The record is from RNAcentral.
UACGAAGGACCCAAGCGUUAUCCGGAUUUAUUGGGUUUAAAGGGUGCGUAGGCGGGUUAUUAAGUCAGUGGUGAAAGCUCCUAGCUCAACUGGGAAAUUGCCAUUGAUACUGAUGAUCUUGAGUAUGAUUGAGGUGGGCGGAAUGUGUCAUGUAGCGGUGAAAUGCUUAGAUAUGACACAGAACACCGAUUGCGAAGGCAGCUCACUAAGCCAUAACUGACGCUGAUGCACGAAAGCGUGGGGAGCAAACAGG